This 311-nucleotide ribosomal RNA is filed under the name uncultured bacterium. RNAcentral describes it as "bacterial SSU rRNA". It matches the Rfam family "Bacterial small subunit ribosomal RNA", at positions 28 to 334 of the family's 1533-position model. The record is from RNAcentral.
GAUGAACGCUAGCUACAGGCUUAACACAUGCAAGUCGAGGGGCGAGCGCAGUGUAGCAAUACACGGGCGGCGAUCGGCGCACGGGUGCGUAACGCGUAUCCAACCUUCCCGUUACUCAGGGAUAGCCCUCCGAAAGGGAGAUUAAUACCUGAUGGUGUUCAAAUUCCGCAUGUUAUUUGAACUAAAGAUUUAUCGGUAACGGAUGGGGAUGCGUGACAUUAGAUAGUAGGCGGGGUAACGGCCCACCUAGUCGAUGAUGUUUAGCGGGUUGAGAGACUGAUCCGCCACACUGGGACUGAGAUACGGCCCAG